Molecule: long non-coding RNA, 128 nt
Organism: Thalassophryne amazonica
Lineage: Eukaryota; Metazoa; Chordata; Actinopteri; Batrachoidiformes; Batrachoididae
Exons: 3
Source: RefSeq, a predicted model, not a curated record
CCUUUUGCAGUUGUUUAUCUUGGUGGCUUCCCUCACUUGUAUCCAUACAGCAUGGUCACUCAAUAAUUGAGAGCUGCCUACUUGACACAAAUAAACCACAAAGCACCAUACUGUUUGCAUUUCUUAAU